GAGGGCUCUUUUUAAAAUUGCGUUUUACUGGCACAGCGGUGACUUAGCGUGGCCUUGGUCUCGGGUGUACAGCAGCGUGACGCGGUUACACACGCGCACACCCCGUCCGCUUCAGGCUCUUCCCCGCACGGGUCACUGCAGACACGGCGCGGGGUCCGGGUCUCUAGGCGGCUCCUCGGGCCCCAUCCCCUCCGCCAGAGCCGUGCGCACCCCGUUUUCAGCCUCUCCCAGCCUUUUCCCUUGGGUAACCCUAAGCUUGGUUUCGAAAUCUUUGAGUCUGAUUCCGUUUUGUUAACAAGUACCCCUGUAUCAUUCUUUAUUAGAUCCCACGUAUUUAUGACCCAAAAGGCUCUGUUUUCAGAACAUCCAAGGCUGAAAUGGCCCCGGGGCACCAGACGGCCGGCUGGGGCGAGGAUCCGGUCCGUUCACGUCGCUGCAGUGCGCCAGCAGCCCCGCAGGUGGCGCCAGCGGCACUCCUUUCGCCCCGGGAGUCAGGACGCGGCGAGGGAGCCGCUUUGCGGAGAAGGCGUGUGCGCGGUCCUAGGCCGUCCCUCUCCCGGCGGCUCGCUGGUUGUGAGCGAGAAGUGUAUGUAUGCAUAGUUAGGGGCGAAUCCUCGACUAGUAAACUUCUUGACGAUGUGGUCCAAAUAACGGCACCAGUGAGCAGCAGAUGGACAAACUGUGCGUCCAGAAGUGAUGCCCUUGAGAAGGACACACAUGCUGCACCCAGUGUCACAGUCCAGUCUAAAGACGGGGAAACGGCAGACAAACCCCAAAUGAGAACUGUCGUAUUAAAGUCGGGGGAUAGGGGACUGGAUUCUUUAAAAGUGUCCAUGUCACUAACGGCAGAAAACUAGGGAAAUGUUCCAUAGAAAAGAGGCUAAGGAGACAUGAAAACCAAGUGCAAAACCCGGGGCUAGACUGGGUCCCCAAAUGCAGGGGGGAGCCUCAGGGACAUGGUUAGGUCAGCUGACCCGACUGGAACAUGGGCAGGAGGCUGCAGUAUUGCAUCGAUGUUACAUACACCGCAGCUGAUAACUGCUGUGACUAGAUAGCAAGUUAUUCUUAUUUUAUAGAAUAUACUCUGGUGCGUUUAGGAAUAAAAGACCCUGGUGUGUAUGACUUACCUUCAAGUUGGGCACAAACUGUGUUUUUUUCUAAUUAAAUAUGUAAAAAUAUGUUCUAAUAGAAAAUCUAUGUACAUUUAUUGUAAUUUUCACUAUAUAUUGAUAUAUUUAAUUAGAAAAUACAUAUAUAUGUAUUUGAUACAAAUAAAGCAGAUGGAGUAAAAUCUUAGGUGAAUCAGGUAAAGAGGCUAUAUGGGUCUUCUUUCUGCUAUUUUUAUUUUUGCAAAUUUUCUUUAAGUUUGAAAUUAUUUCCAAAUGAAUAUUUAGGAAGAAAAAAAUGGUUUAAAGAAUGACGACUGGAGUUCCUGUCAUGGCUCAGCGGUAAUGAACCUGACUAGCAUCCAUGAGGACGCAGGUUCGAUCCCUAGUCUCGCUCAGUGGGUUAAGGAUCCAGCGUUGCCGUGAGCUGUGGUGUAGGUCGAAGAUACAGCUCAGGUCCUGCCUUGCUGUGGCUGUGGUGUAGGCCAGCAGCUGUCGCUCCAAUUCGACCUCUAGCCUGGGAACCUCCAUAUACUGAGGGUGUGGCCCUAAAAAGCCAAAAUAAAAAUAAAAAUAAUGAUGGUUCCAGGACCUUCUCCCCCCCCCGCUUCACUUCUGCAGCAGUUCAGAGCUGGUCUCCUGCCUUAUGUGUGUGUGUCUUCUGCUGUCCCUUUGCUUCAGUCUCUUCUGAAAGGACGAUGCUUUGGUUUCCGGGCUCUGAGGCCGAGACCUAAACUGGAGAAGGUGGAAUUAGCAUUGUUCGUGGCUGGAAAAAGGGACCGAAGCCUCCGUAAGGGGAUACGGAGAGCUCUGUGUCCAGCCUCCAUCCCGGCUCCGGCCUCAGGAGCUGAGCGGAUCUGUGGUGUCAGCCUGCUGCCAGCCGUCCGGCUCGGGCCAGGUGUCCCCUGGGACCCUAAAGAGGCAUCUGGUGUCCGAGAGCCCAGCUGGGCUGGCUGUGCCAGAGCCACCUUGGCAGAAUGGGGACUUCAUUAUCCUUUCGUUCUGCCUGCAGCUUCCUGGAAGUGACACUAUCCAGGAGCCUGACAUCUGCACACCCUAGUGUCCUCGGGAGUCCUUCCGCUGUUCCAGUGACUCACGCUGCAUUAAAUCAGCCGAACUGGCUGACAGCUUUGGUCAGGAAACCUGGACGCCUCUUGGCGGGAACGGCCGUCUUGCACUCGCAGCAGCACGUCGCAGGGAAGCGAGGCAGUCCCGCCCUGUGGUCAGGGGCGCAGACUCUGGACCGGAGCGCCCUGCACAGGACCCACGUUCCCAGCUGUGUGAUCGUGGGCCAGUCGCUCUAGCCCCCUGGACCACUGUUUCUUGGUAAAGUGAGGAUAAUAACAAUGCUUCUGUCAUGGAGCCGACGUGAGCACUGAUGCAGUUGAGAUACAGAAAGCGUUUGAAACAGCGAGUUAGUAGGACCUGUAUUUUAUGGAAACCAAGACACACAUAGAGCCCUUCACGAAGGUCUCAGCAGGAUAUGCAUACGCGUGCCGGGAGUGCUACCUGGCUGAAAACCAUAGUAACGUGAUCAGUGAUAAGAUGCAACCCAAUUUCAGAAAAGUUCAAAAGGUGAAAAAGUGGGUUUUAGAAUCCAUGGACUACAGAACAUUAUUUUAUUGCUUUUACUUUGUUUUUAAAAUUGAGGUAUAUUUCAUACACCCGAUAUUUCCUCUGUUCACGUCUGCUACCCAGUGAUUUUUAGUUUAUUCACAAGGCUGUUUAACCAUCACCACUGUCUCAUUUUAGAAUAUUUUUAUCACCGCCAGAAGAAACUCGAAAACUGUUAAGAGUCUCUUCCCAUUCCCUCUUCUCCCCAGUUCCUAGCAACUACCAGGCCACGUUCUCUCUGUACAGAUUUGCCUGUUCAGGACAUGCGCUCUGCAUGAAAUUACGUGACAUACAGCUUUUUGCGUCUGCCUUCUUUCACUUAGCAUGAUGUUUUCAAGCUUGGCCCAUGCCAUAGCAGGUAGCAGCCCCUCGUUCUCGUUUGGAGCCAAAUGCAGUUCCGCCGCGUGGAGGUGGAGGUGCCAUCUGUGGUUUCUCCAUUCCUCGUGUAAUGCCAUUUGGCUUGCUUCCGUUUUUGGCUGAUGUGAAUAAUGCUUCUGUGAGCAUUUGUGUGUGGGUUUUGUGUGGACAUGUGAUUUCAGUUCUCUUGGGUGUAUAUCCAGCAGUGGUCAUGUGAUUACUCUAUGUUUCAUUGCUUGAAGACCCGCAAGACAAUCGUCCGAGGCAGCUGUACCAUUUUUCAUCCCCACCAGCAGUGUCCGAAGGUGCCAGUUUUCCGCCUCAUCACCAGCGUUUGUUAUAAGGUUAUAGCCACUCUAGUGGGUGUGAAGUGGUACCCUAUUAUGGUUUUGAUUUGUGGUGCCCUAAUGACAAAUGGGGUUGCGCAUCUUUUUAUGUGCUUAUGGGCCAUAUUGUUAUCGUCUUUAGAAAAAUGUCUUAUCCAGUCCUUCGCCCAUUUUUAUAUUGGGUUGUCUUUUUCCUGUUGAGGUCUAGGAGUUUUUCGUCUAUUUUAGAUACUGACUCUCACCGUUUAUAAGACUGGCACAUACUUCCUCUCAUUCUGAGAGUGUCUUCAUUUUCCUGAUAGCGUCUUUGAAGCACAGAAGCUGUAAUUUGAUGAAGUCCAGUUGGUCUGCUUUUUCUUUGGUUGCUUUUGCUUCAGACACCGCGUCUAAGCAACCAUUGCCUGCCCCACGGUCAUGAAGAUGUAUAACUGUGUUUUUUGGAAGGUUUUAGCUCCUACGUUUAGGUCUUUGGUCCACUUUGAGUUAACUCUGGUUGAUGNNNNNNNNNNNNNNNNNNNNNNNNNNNNNNNNNNNNNNNNNNNNUCCUGCUCCUGCAAGUGGGUGUCCAGUUUUCCCAGCAUCAUUUGCUGAAGACGAUUCUUUCCCCAUUGAAUUGUCUUGGUACCCUUGUCAACUGCUCGGUGACGCAUGGAUUUACUUCUGGGCCCUCAGUUCUGUCCUGCUGUUCUGAGGGUCUAUCCUCAUGCUCGUACAGCAGUCUUUGUCGCUGUAGCUUUGUCAUAAGUCUCGAAACCAGCAAGUGUGAGUUCUUCAACUUAGUUCUCCUUUUCAAGGUUGUUUCGGAGUCCCUGCUGUGGCUCAGCAGGUUACGAACCCAACUAGUAUCCAUGAAGAUUCAGGUUCGAUCCCUGGCCUCGCUCAGUGGGUUAAGGAUUCUGCAGUACUGUGGCUGUGGCAUAGGCCAGCUAUAGCUCCUAUUCGGCCCCUAGCCUGGGAACUUCCAUAUGCCUCAAGUUUGGCCCUAAAAAGCACACACACACACACACACAAAUUGAGGCAAAACAUGAAUUUGGGAUCAGAUGGUCAGUUUCUACAAAGAAGUCAGCUAAGAUUUUGAUAAGAACUGCAGUAAUUUGUAGAUCAACUGGAGGAAUCGUGCCGUCCAAGCAGCUUUAAGUCUCCUGUCUGUGAACCGUUAAUUUGGCUUUGGUGUGCACUGGCUUCAUCUGACAGGUAGGCAGGGCCUGACGUGUGCAGUUGGUCAGGAAAACUGAGUUAACUGCCAGAUGCCGAUCUGAUUUUGAGCUGAGGGGAUAAGGCACAGUCUUACUUUUGUCAAGGUGGGAGAAAAACGGAAAGACCGAAUAGGUUGGUAGAGCCCACCGGGCAUCAAAGACCUCAUUAUCAUAAAAGUUACAUUUUACAUAAUACAGGAUAUGUCCCCCCACUUAAGACAUCUUAAUAUAACACAUAUUGAUUCUUAAAUCUCUGAAUUUAUCUUACAGGACAGAAAAAUUAUGGAGUGACUUUUUGUGGUGUAGAGUCUUUUGAAAGUCUUUUGAAUAAUAGAGAGAAAUAACAAUUAAUGUGUAAACCAACUGCUUCUCGACUUAAGAAAACUAAAGUCCGCCUCU
This 4998-nucleotide long non-coding RNA is filed under the name Sus scrofa (pig). Its description in RNAcentral is "lncRNA (ENSSSCG00005044196.1)". The record is from RNAcentral. Lineage: Eukaryota; Metazoa; Chordata; Mammalia; Artiodactyla; Suidae.